ACGCUCGACACCUACGGGGGCAGCAGUGGGGAAUAUUGCACAAUGGAGGAAACUCUGAUGCAGCGAUGCCGCGUGAGGGAAGAAGGUUUUCGGAUUGUAAACCUCUGUCUUUGGGGACGAUAAUGACGGUACCCAAGGAGGAAGCUCCGGCUAACUACGUGCCAGUAGCCGCGGUAAUCUGAGCGGGCUGGCAAGGC
This 197-nucleotide ribosomal RNA is filed under the name uncultured bacterium. RNAcentral describes it as "partial 16S ribosomal RNA". It matches the Rfam family "Bacterial small subunit ribosomal RNA", at positions 328 to 539 of the family's 1533-position model. The record is from RNAcentral.